Molecule: ribosomal RNA, 253 nt
Filed under: uncultured bacterium
Lineage: Bacteria
Description: partial 16S ribosomal RNA
Rfam family: Bacterial small subunit ribosomal RNA
Source: RNAcentral
UACAGAGGGGGCAAGCGUUGUUCGGAAUUACUGGGCGUAAAGGGCGCGUAGGCGGCCUGUUAAGUCGAACGUGAAAUCCCCGGGCUCAACCCGGGAACUGCGUCCGAUACUGGCAGGCUUGAAUCCGGGAGAGGGAUGCGGAAUUCCAGGUGUAGCGGUGAAAUGCGUAGAUAUCUGGAGGAACACCGGUGGCGAAGGCGGCAUCCUGGACCGACACUGACGCUGAUGCACGAAAGCUAGGGGAGCAAACAGG